RNAcentral lists this ribosomal RNA (156 nucleotides) under uncultured Brevundimonas sp. RNAcentral's name for it is "partial 16S ribosomal RNA". It matches the Rfam family "Bacterial small subunit ribosomal RNA", at positions 334 to 507 of the family's 1533-position model. Lineage: Bacteria; Pseudomonadati; Pseudomonadota; Alphaproteobacteria; Caulobacterales; Caulobacteraceae. The record is from RNAcentral.
UACUCCUACGGGAGGCAGCAGUGGGGAAUCUUGCGCAAUGGGCGAAAGCCUGACGCAGCCAUGCCGCGUGAAUGAUGAAGGUCUUAGGAUUGUAAAAUUCUUUCACCGGGGACGAUAAUGACGGUACCCGGAGAAGAAGCCCCGGCUAACUUCGUG